Long non-coding RNA from Salvelinus fontinalis (brook trout), 3551 nucleotides. RefSeq lists it as uncharacterized. The transcript is spliced from 8 exons. The record is from RefSeq and is a predicted model, not a curated record. Lineage: Eukaryota; Metazoa; Chordata; Actinopteri; Salmoniformes; Salmonidae.
CACUACUACACACAGAUAGAACAGGAGAAGGUGAGGACACUACUACACACAGAGACCAAGAUAGAACAGGAGAAGGUGAGGACACUACUACACACAGAGACCCAGAUAGAACAGGAGAAGGUGAGGACACUACUACACACAGAGACCCAGAUAGAACAGGAGAAGGUGAGGACACUACUACACACAGAGACCAAGAUAGAAGGUGAGGACACUACUACACACAGAGACCCAGAUAGAACAGGAGAAGGUGAGGACACUACUACACACAGACACCCAGAGAGAACAGGAGAAGGUGAGGACACUACUACACACAGAGACCAAGAUAGGUGAGGACACUACUACACACAGACACCCAGAUAGAACAGGAGAAGGUGAGGACACUACUACACACAGAGACCCAGAUAGAACAGGAGAAGGUGAGGACACUACUACACACAGAGACCAAGAUAGAAGGUGAGGACACUACUACACACAGAGACCCAGAGAGAACAGGAGAAAGUGAGGACACUACUACACACAGAGACCCAGAGAGAACAGGAGAAGGUGAGGACACUACUACACACAGACAGCCAGAGAGAACAGGAGAAGGUGAGGACACUACUACACACAGAGACCCAGAUAGAACAGGAGAAAGUGAGGACACUACUACACACAGAGACCAAUAUAGAACAGGAGAAGGUGAGGACACUACUACACACAGAGACCCAGAUAGAACAGGAGAAAGUGAGGACACUACUACACACAGAGACCCAGAUAGAAGGUGAGGACACUACUACACACAGAGACCCAGAUAGAACAGGAGAAAGUGAGGACACUACUACACACAGAGACCAAGAUAGAACAGGAGAAGGUGAGGACACUACUACACACAGAGACCCAGAUAGAAGGUGAGGACACUACUACACACAGAGACCCAGAUAGAAGGUGAGGACACUACUACACACAGAGACCCAGAUAGAACAGGAGAAGGUGAGGACACUACUACACACAGAGACCCAGAUAGAAGGUGAGGACACUACUACACACAGAGACCCAGAUAGAAGGUGAGGACACUACUACACACAGAGACCCAGAUAGAAGGUGAGGACACUACUACACACAGAGACCCAGAUAGAAGGUGAGGACACUACUACACACAGAGACCCAGAUAGAAGGUGAGGACACUACUACACACAGAGACCCAGAUAGAAGGUGAGGACACUACUACACACAGAGACCCAGAUAGAAGGUGAGGACACUACUACACACAGAGACCCAGAUAGAAGGUGAGGACACUACUACACACAGAGACCCAGAUAGAACAGGAGAAGGUGAGGACACUACUACACACAGAGACCCAGAUAGAACAGGAGAAGGUGAGGACACUACUACACACAGAGACCCAGAGAGAACAGGAGAAGGUGAGGACACUACUACACACAGACAGCCAGAGAGAACAGGAGAAGGUGAGGACACUACUACACCCAGAGACCCAGAGAGAACAGGAGAAGGUGAGGACACUACUACACACAGAGACCAAUAUAGAACAGGAGAAGGUGAGGACACUACUACACACAGAGACCCAGAUAGAAGGUGAGGACACUACUACACACAGACACCCAGAGAGAACAGGAGAAGGUGAGGACACUACUACACACAGAGACCCAGAGAGAACAGGAGAAGGUGAGGACACUACUACACACAGAGACCCAGAUAGAACAGGAGAAGGUGAGGACACUACUACACACAGAGACCCAGAUAGAAGGUGAGGACACUACUACACACAGAGACCCAGAUAGAACAGGAGAAGGUGAGGACACUACUACACACAGAGACCCAGAUAGAACAGGAGAAGGUGAGGACACUACUACACACAGAGACCAAUAUAGAACAGGAGAAGGUGAGGACACUACUACACACAGAGACCCAGAUAGAAGGUGAGGACACUACUACACCCAGAGAGAACAGGAGAAGGUGAGGACACUACUACACACAGAGACCCAGAUAGAACAGGAGAAGGCGAGGACACUACUACACACAGAUAGAACAGGAGAAGGUGAGGACACUACUACACACAGAGACCAAGAUAGAACAGGAGAAGGUGAGGACACUACUACACACAGAGACCCAGAUAGAACAGGAGAAGGUGAGGACACUACUACACACAGAGACCCAGAUAGAACAGGAGAAGGUGAGGACACUACUACACACAGAGACCAAGAUAGAAGGUGAGGACACUACUACACACAGAGACCCAGAUAGAACAGGAGAAGGUGAGGACACUACUACACACAGACACCCAGAGAGAACAGGAGAAGGUGAGGACACUACUACACACAGAGACCAAGAUAGGUGAGGACACUACUACACACAGACACCCAGAUAGAACAGGAGAAGGUGAGGACACUACUACACACAGAGACCCAGAUAGAACAGGAGAAGGUGAGGACACUACUACACACAGAGACCAAGAUAGAAGGUGAGGACACUACUACACACAGAGACCCAGAGAGAACAGGAGAAAGUGAGGACACUACUACACACAGAGACCCAGAGAGAACAGGAGAAGGUGAGGACACUACUACACACAGAGACCCAGAUAGAAGGUGAGGACACUACUACACACAGAGACCCAGAUAGAAGGUGAGGACACUACUACACACAGAGACCCAGAUAGAAGGUGAGGACACUACUACACACAGAGACCCAGAUAGAAGGUGAGGACACUACUACACACAGAGACCCAGAUAGAAGGUGAGGACACUACUACACACAGAGACCCAGAUAGAAGGUGAGGACACUACUACACACAGAGACCCAGAUAGAAGGUGAGGACACUACUACACACAGAGACCCAGAUAGAACAGGAGAAGGUGAGGACACUACUACACACAGAGACCCAGAUAGAACAGGAGAAGGUGAGGACACUACUACACACAGAGACCCAGAGAGAACAGGAGAAGGUGAGGACACUACUACACACAGACAGCCAGAGAGAACAGGAGAAGGUGAGGACACUACUACACCCAGAGACCCAGAGAGAACAGGAGAAGGUGAGGACACUACUACACACAGAGACCAAUAUAGAACAGGAGAAGGUGAGGACACUACUACACACAGAGACCCAGAUAGAAGGUGAGGACACUACUACACACAGACACCCAGAGAGAACAGGAGAAGGUGAGGACACUACUACACACAGAGACCCAGAGAGAACAGGAGAAGGUGAGGACACUACUACACACAGAGACCCAGAUAGAACAGGAGAAGGUGAGGACACUACUACACACAGAGACCCAGAUAGAAGGUGAGGACACUACUACACACAGAGACCCAGAUAGAACAGGAGAAGGUGAGGACACUACUACACACAGAGACCCAGAUAGAACAGGAGAAGGUGAGGACACUACUACACACAGAGACCAAUAUAGAACAGGAGAAGGUGAGGACACUACUACACACAGAGACCCAGAUAGAAGGUGAGGACACUACUACACCCAGAGAGAACAGGAGAAGGUGAGGACACUACUACACACAGAGACCCAGAUAGAACAGGAGAAGGCGAGGACACU